UGACGGUACCUGACUAAGAAGCUCCGGCUAAAUACGUGCCAGCAGCCGCGGUAAUACGUAUGGUGCAAGCGUUAUCCGGAUUUACUGGGUGUAAAGGGAGCGUAGGUGGUUUUGUAAGUUGGAUGUGAAAACCCGGGGCUCAACCCCGUGACUGCUUUUGAAACUGCAUAGCUAGAGUGCCGGAGGGGAAAGCGGAAUUCCUAGUGUAGCGGUGAAAUGCGUAGAUAUUAGGAGGAACACCGGUGGCGAAGGCGGCUUACUGGACGGUAACUGACGUUGAGGCUCGAAAGCGUGGGGAGCAAACAGGAUUAGAUACCCUG
Molecule: ribosomal RNA, 320 nt
Filed under: uncultured bacterium
Lineage: Bacteria
Description: bacterial SSU rRNA
Rfam family: Bacterial small subunit ribosomal RNA
Source: RNAcentral